RNAcentral lists this ribosomal RNA (253 nucleotides) under uncultured bacterium. RNAcentral's name for it is "partial 16S ribosomal RNA". It matches the Rfam family "Bacterial small subunit ribosomal RNA", at positions 524 to 776 of the family's 1533-position model. The record is from RNAcentral.
UACGGAGGAUCCAAGCGUUAUCCGGAAUCAUUGGGUUUAAAGGGUCCGUAGGCGGGUUUAUAAGUCAGUGGUGAAAGCCCAUCGCUCAACGAUGGAACGGCCAUUGAUACUGUAGAUCUUGAAUUAUUAGGAAGUAACUAGAAUAUGUAGUGUAGCGGUGAAAUGCUUAGAGAUUACAUGGAAUACCGAUUGCGAAGGCAGGUUACUACUAAUGGAUUGACGCUGAUGGACGAAAGCGUGGGGAGCGAACAGG